GACGAACGCUGGCGGCGUGCUUAACACAUGCAAGUCGAGCGGUAAGGCCCUUUCGGGGGUACACGAGCGGCGAACGGGUGAGUAACACGUGGGUGACCUGCCCUCAGCUCUGGGAUAAGCCUGGGAAACUGGGUCUAAUACUGGAUAUGACUCCACGGUGCAUGUCGUGGGGUGAAAGCCUUGUGCGGCUGAGGAUGGGCCCGCGGCCUAUCAGCUUGUUGGUGGGGUGANGGCCUACCAAGGCGACGACGGGUAGCCGGCCUGAGAGGGCGACCGGCCACACUGGGACUGAGACACGGCCCAGACUCCUACGGGAGGCAGCAGUGGGGAAUCUUGCGCAAUGGGCGAAAGCCUGACGCAGCGACGCCGCGUGAGGGAUGACGGCC
RNAcentral lists this ribosomal RNA (386 nucleotides) under uncultured bacterium. Its description in RNAcentral is "bacterial SSU rRNA". It matches the Rfam family "Bacterial small subunit ribosomal RNA", at positions 28 to 416 of the family's 1533-position model. The record is from RNAcentral.